AUUGAACGCUGGCGGCAGGCCUAACACAUGCAAGUCGAGCGGAUGAGGGGAGCUUGCCCCUGGAUUCAGCGGCGGACGGGUGAGUAAUGCCUAGGAAUCUGCCUGGUAGUGGGGGAUAACGUCCGGAAACGGGCGCUAAUACCGCAUACGUCCUGAGGGAGAAAGUGGGGGAUCUUCGGACCUCACGCUAUCAGAUGAGCCUAGGUCGGAUUAGCUAGUUGGUGGGGUAAAGGCCUACCAAGGCGACGAUCCGUAACUGGUCUGAGAGGAUGAUCAGUCACACUGGAACUGAGACACGGUCCAGACUCCUACGGGAGGCAGCAGUGGGGAAUAUUGGACAAUGGGCGAAAGCCUGAUCCAGCCAUGCCGCGUGUGUGAAGAAGGUCUUCGGAUUGUAAAGCACUUUAAGUUGGGAGGAAGGGCAGUAAGUUAAUACCUUGCUGUUUUGACGUUACCAACAGAAUAAGCACCGGCUAACUUCGUG
RNAcentral lists this ribosomal RNA (484 nucleotides) under uncultured bacterium. RNAcentral describes it as "partial 16S ribosomal RNA". It matches the Rfam family "Bacterial small subunit ribosomal RNA", at positions 30 to 507 of the family's 1533-position model. The record is from RNAcentral.